GUGUGUGUGUGUGUGUGUGUGUGAUUGAGUGUGAGAGAGUGUGUGUGUGUCUGAGUGUGUGUGUGUGUGUGUGUGUGUGCCUGAGGUUCAGUUCAGUCCUAAACAGAUCGGGUCGUCUGCUGGGGUGGGGGGGUAUGUUUACACAGCUGCGCUUCACUAUAGUAGUGUGUGCGUGAGAUAAAGCGAAUCAGAUGAAAUAGAGCGUACAGAUCCACGCUUAAAUGAGGGCUCAAAUUAAUCUCGAUCUUUCCGGUCACCGCGUUUGUCUUGUCGUUCAGGUUCACGGUCGGGAUCUGACCCAUCUGCAGAAGCGAGAGGCCUUCCGUAUCCUGGCCAGCUACGAGCAGCCAAUCACGCUUCAGAUUGAGGGCCGGGGGCGGAGCCUGCAGUACAACAGGACGACGGACUGCAGCACGCAGACGGAGCGACCGUGGGACCCUCUCCGGCCGCACUCGUGCACCCUACCGCGACGGCCUCCCUCGGACAGGACGUACUACACUCACUUGACCCUCCCCGGGACCCAUAGAGACGGAAGCAGGUACGAGUACCUACCAAACACGCCCAGAGACCUGGAGCACAGAGGACGACGGGCCUGCAACGACCAUGAGUUCUCCAGCGGCGCGUCUCCGGCACAGAACUGUCUGAGCGGAUGCUGCAACAGCAACCUGGAGGAACCCAGAAGUUUCCAGAGUCAGACUGAUGACGAUGACUACAUGAUGGAGAAACCCCUGGGUUACCUGCCUCUUCAUCACGAGCUGGACAGCGGGCUCGGCUGGACGGACGGUAGCUUCCACCAGGGGGAGCUGUCGGGGGUGGAGACGGAGGAGGGGCUUGAGGAGCGCCACGGCGGGUCACCGUCAUCUGAGUCAUUCAUCUCGUCUGAACUGAGCGACUCGGGUUUUUACAGCGUCAGCACCGGCGAGUUCCUGCGCUUCCAGCGUCUGCUCGAGAAACGCAUGCGCCAUUACAACGCCCGCAUGCACCACCAGGGGGAGCCGUGCUCUCGCGAGCGGCGCGACAGCCAGAUAAAACACCCCCUAGAGGCCAUCCCAGAAACGCUGACGGUGCAGCCUCAAAACGUCUGCACGCCCAUCCAGGGAUCGCGGGUUUUGUCCGUGCAGUACCGUAAGGCGGAGCGUCCAUGUUUGAACAGGCACAGCUCCAGCAGCGGCUCGCUGUUCAAUCCCGCGCCUCAUCCGAGUUCUGCGGGAAUGCUGAGAAGAAGCAGGACGCUGCAUCACGCGCCAAUGGAGUACCGCAGACGGGCGAGUCACCCGGCCUCACCCAACUAUUGCAGGGCCACGCUGCAUCCCUGCGUCCACAGAGUCGACCUGCCCAUGAAUCUCCCUGAGGAGCCGGACUUGGCACUUAUGCACGCUAUUGCACACCCUGUUGUACACCCCACUGCACUCCCUACAAAGACUCUACACGCAAUGAGUCAACCGUCCCUGAUCUCUCCAGUUGACGAACACUGCUGCACGCCUCUGGAUCUUCACGCCAACGGCAGGAUCCGAGCAUCCACCGAACCGCUGAUAACUCCUGACUGGAUGAACCACAUAUGAGUUUGCUGUUAAAUAUGCACAAACCUGUAACAGUAUCAAUAGUAUUGAACCAUUUAAAAACUGCCUAGC
Sinocyclocheilus grahami is the source of this 1631-nucleotide long non-coding RNA. Ensembl lists it as uncharacterized. The record is from Ensembl. Lineage: Eukaryota; Metazoa; Chordata; Actinopteri; Cypriniformes; Cyprinidae.